RNAcentral lists this ribosomal RNA (543 nucleotides) under Nidulariopsis iowensis. Its description in RNAcentral is "Sphaerobolus iowensis partial small subunit ribosomal RNA". It matches the Rfam family "Bacterial small subunit ribosomal RNA", at positions 356 to 955 of the family's 1533-position model. Lineage: Eukaryota; Fungi; Basidiomycota; Agaricomycetes; Geastrales; Geastraceae. The record is from RNAcentral.
CAAGAAUAUUAGUCAAUGCUCGCAAGAGUGAACUAGCUAACUGGAAAUUACGAGUGUCUUGUAAUUAAGGUAAAGGAAAAUUAUGAUAUUACUUUACUAUUAGUGUUGUCCAAAACUGGUGCCAGAAGACUCGGUAAGGCCAGAGACGCAAGCGUAAGUCAUCUUAAAAAGGCGUAAAGGGUAUGUAGGCAGCUUUAUAUAUCUGAAAAGAUAGUUGACAUAAAGAUAGAAUCAUAUAGAGGUCACGGGUUAGAGAAUACUUAGAGGAGGGUUGGUAUCCCUAGAUACUAAGCAGAAUACUAGUUAGCGAAGGCUCUUUUCCAACUUAUGAUUGACGCUGAGAUACGAAGGGGAGGGCAGAAAAAAGGAUUUGAGACCCAAGUAUUCCUCUCUGUAAACGAUGAAUGGUAGUUGCUAGUAUAUUUAUUAGUGGCGAUGUUAACGCGUUAACCAUUCCGCCUUGUGAGUACGGCCGCAAGGUUGAAAACAAAAAAAUUAGUCGGUUUCGGAGCAAACGAAGUGAAGCAUGUUAUUUAAUUCGAU